UUGUCAGUUCCUAAAUACGAACUGGUACUCUGAAAUACAUGGCACGAGAUUUCAGCGGUGAUUCCAUACACAUUCAGUCUAUUCACAUUCAAUUGAAACCUUUCAACUCUCUCUCCAAAUCAUUCAACUCCUUCCGAAAAUGCUCACAUAUACCAAUCCUUCCAAAAUGAAAAACCCUAGUUUCAUGAAAUUGAGAACCGAAGUUGCACCCCUUCUUAGUAGCGACCGCGGAAAUAUUACGCCGGCUACGUUCGUCGAUUCUGCAUUGGAGAGGUAAAAGGCACAUUUUGUUUGUUCUGAAAUGGUUAAAAGACGAGACUUUUCGAACCCCGAAACGGCUGGCGGCGGAGAAACUUCUGGAAGUGUCCACAGUUGUUAAGCGACGCAGAUGAUGGAAGAAACAAGAUGAUCCAGAAAAUGAACCGAGGGGAAAGAGGUUGAAAAUAGGGAGAAGAAAAUAACAUCAUUACAUGGAGUUUUCUCCAUUACGUGUACUUUGCAAAAGUUAUUGUAAACAAAUUAAUGCUUCUGAUGUAAAUUAAUCUUGCGUUUGAAAUUUAGUUCAA
Molecule: long non-coding RNA, 566 nt
Organism: Salvia splendens (bonfire salvia)
Lineage: Eukaryota; Viridiplantae; Streptophyta; Magnoliopsida; Lamiales; Lamiaceae
Exons: 2
Source: RefSeq, a predicted model, not a curated record